Molecule: ribosomal RNA, 497 nt
Filed under: uncultured bacterium
Lineage: Bacteria
Description: partial 16S ribosomal RNA
Rfam family: Bacterial small subunit ribosomal RNA
Source: RNAcentral
GAUGAACGCUGGCGGCGUGCCUAAUACAUGCAAGUCGAGCGAACAGAUGAGGAGCUUGCUCCUCUGACGUUAGCGGCGGACGGGUGAGUAACACGUGGAUAACCUACCUAUAAGACUGGGAUAACUUCGGGAAACCGGAGCUAAUACCGGAUAAUAUAUUGAACCGCAUGGUUCAAUAGUGAAAGACGGUUUUGCUGUCACUUAUAGAUGGAUCCACGCCGCAUUAGCUAGUUGGUAAGGUAACGGCUUACCAAGGCAACGAUGCGUAGCCGACCUGAGAGGGUGAUCGGCCACACUGGAACUGAGACACGGUCCAGACUCCUACGGGAGGCAGCAGUAGGGAAUCUUCCGCAAUGGGCGAAAGCCUGACGGAGCAACGCCGCGUGAGUGAUGAAGGUCUUCGGAUCGUAAAACUCUGUUAUUAGGGAAGAACAAAUGUGUAAGUAACUAUGCACGUCUUGACGGUACCUAAUCAGAAAGCCACGGCUAACUACGUG